This 83-nucleotide transfer RNA is filed under the name human gut metagenome. It matches the Rfam family "tRNA". From Rfam's summary of the family: Transfer RNA (tRNA) molecules are approximately 80 nucleotides in length. Their secondary structure includes four short double-helical elements and three loops (D, anti-codon, and T loops). The record is from RNAcentral.
GAGGAAUGGCAGAGCGGUUGAAUGCGGCGGUCUUGAAAACCGUUGUGCCGAGAGGCACCGUGGGUUCGAAUCCUACUUCCUCC